Small nuclear RNA from Cynocephalus volans (Philippine flying lemur), 105 nucleotides. The record is from RefSeq and is a predicted model, not a curated record. Lineage: Eukaryota; Metazoa; Chordata; Mammalia; Dermoptera; Cynocephalidae.
GUGCUUGCUUCAGCAGCACAUGCCCUAAAAUUGCAACAAUACAGAGAAGAUUAGCAUGGGAUCCCAUGGAUGGACGCACACAUUUGUAAAGUAUUUCAUAUUUUU